UACGGGGGGGGCAAGCGUUGUUCGGAAUUAUUGGGCGUAAAGAGCUCGUAGGCGGUGUGUCACGUCGGCCGUGAAAACCUGCAGCUUAACUGUGGGCGUGCGGUCGAUACGGGCAUCACUGGAGUUCGGCAGGGGAGACUGGAAUUCCUGGUGUAGCGGUGAAAUGCGCAGAUAUCAGGAGGAACACCGGUGGCGAAGGCGGCUCACUGGCUCAUUACUGACGCUCAGGCGCGAUAGCGUGGGGAUCAAACAGG
RNAcentral lists this ribosomal RNA (254 nucleotides) under uncultured bacterium. RNAcentral describes it as "partial 16S ribosomal RNA". It matches the Rfam family "Bacterial small subunit ribosomal RNA", at positions 524 to 776 of the family's 1533-position model. The record is from RNAcentral.